CAAACCAUAAUGUCGAAUAAAACCACAACAGUUUUUUCUAGUGAUUUCAAACUUUUGCAGUACCGAAUAUAUAUCAUUUAUUCAUUGUAUUGAAUUGUGUUAUUUGUAAAAUUAUCCUGAGUGUAAACUAGAUCUUGCUGGAUUACUCUUCGGGGGACGCUUCAACAAGGCAGAAUUGGACACCAAAUAUAACACCUAGACUAAUCGUCAUGAUAAUAAGUAUCAGGACAUAGUGAAAAUUACCGAUGCAGUAAGCUCAAUGCAUCUUCAAGCUCUCGUGAGGCUAUUUGCAAAAAUCAUAUCUUCGAAAAUCUUGUACCCGGUAAAACAUGUUGGGAAGAAAUAAGGCUCUUUGAGGAUCAAAAUUUGGCUGGCUGUGCGAAUGCGGUUCGAUCAAUAGCUGUGAUUUCGAAUGACACGCACUUUAUGAUUUUUGAAGGGGCUUGGCGUCUGAAGAUUUUGAUUUGGAAAUGAUGGAUUAUCCUGCACCAGUGCCAGGUUCAACAAUUGAUCAUGCAGGAUAGAGAUGGGCAAAACAUUUCAUUUCAAAGAGGCGUUAAGUGAUGCAGAGUUCUAUUAAAAGAACUAGUUAUGUUUGCUUGUUGAAUAACUAACCUGAGGUUUCGCAAUAAACUGUUUUCUACCGUUCUCGAAAAAGACGGGGCGAUAAAAAAAUAUAAGGUCCACAACUAUAAACUGAAGAACUAUCGUUCUAGAAAAAAGAACUGUUGGUCAUUAAUACUUUCAAAAGAACUAUUUCUUUUGAACCGAUCGCGAACGAAUCGCUUAUCUCUAAUGCAGGGUAACGGAGAUAUUUUAGCCACUAAUAUAUUUUGGUCCAGCGUACAUAUUUCUGAAAAUAAUCAAAAUGAAGUACAUCGUGACCCAAAAUUUUAAAGAUGUUUCCAUUCGUAAACAUGUUAGCUAUGAAUAUGUACUCCAUUUUGAUUACAACCAAAAAUAUGAGCGCCAGUCCAAAAUAUAUUAGAGUAAUCAAAAUAUUUCCAUUAGCCUAUUUCUUAG
Long non-coding RNA from Malaya genurostris, 1023 nucleotides. RefSeq lists it as uncharacterized. NCBI's taxonomy places the organism in Eukaryota, Metazoa, Arthropoda, Insecta, Diptera, Culicidae. The record is from RefSeq and is a predicted model, not a curated record. The transcript has 3 exons.